This 469-nucleotide ribosomal RNA is filed under the name uncultured bacterium. RNAcentral's name for it is "bacterial SSU rRNA". It matches the Rfam family "Bacterial small subunit ribosomal RNA", at positions 30 to 533 of the family's 1533-position model. The record is from RNAcentral.
AUUGAACGCUGGCGGUAUGCUUAAGACAUGCAAGUCGUGCGGUAGAAGGCUUCGGCCUUUGAGAGCGGCGGACGGGUGAGUAACACGUGGGAAUCUGCCUAUUAGUGGGGGACAGCCCAGCGAAAGCUGGAUUAAUACCGCAUACGCCCUACGGGGGAAAGCAGCAAUGCGCUAAUAGAUGAGCCCGCGUAAGAUUAGCUAGUUGGUAAGGUAAAGGCUUACCAAGGCGACGAUCUUUAGCUGGUCUGAGAGGAUGGCCAGCCACAUCGGGACUGAGACACGGCCCGGACUCCUACGGGAGGCAGCAGUCGGGAAUAUUGGACAAUGGGCGCAAGCCUGAUCCAGCAAUACCGCGUGUGUGAAGAAGGCCUGCGGGUUGUAAAGCACUUUCAGUUGGGAAGAUAAUGACGUUACCAACAGAAGAAGCACCGGCUAACUCCGUGCCAGCAGCCGCGUAAACUGUAGUCGU